GUGCCUGUAGCGCAAUGGCACGCGCGUGCACGCUUUGAACUUCUAAUCCAAAGGUCGUGGGUUCAAUUGCCACCAGGGAUG
Non-coding RNA from Trichonephila clavata, 81 nucleotides. Lineage: Eukaryota; Metazoa; Arthropoda; Arachnida; Araneae; Nephilidae. The record is from the annotation of a GenBank genome assembly.